RNAcentral lists this unclassified non-coding RNA (348 nucleotides) under soil metagenome. RNAcentral's name for it is "partial contains 5.8S ribosomal RNA, internal transcribed spacer 2, and large subunit ribosomal RNA". The stretch from base 1 to 120 matches the Rfam family "5.8S ribosomal RNA", at positions 35 to 154 of the family's 154-position model. The record is from RNAcentral.
GAUGAAGAACGUAGUGAAAUGCGAUAAGUAAUGUGAAUUGCAGAAUUCAGUGAAUCAUCGAAUCUUUGAACGCACAUUGCGCCCAUCAGUAUUCUGUUGGGCAUGCCUGUCCGAGCGUCAUUUCAACCCUCAGGGCCCGUUCGCGGGAACUGGUGUUGGGGAUCGGCCUCCCCCCGGAGGCCGGCCCCGAAAUGCAGUGGUGGCUCUACCGCGAUCUCCUCUGUGUAGUAGCGAUACCUCGCAGCUGGAUAGUGGUGGUGCCACGCCGUAAAAUCCCAACUUUACCAAGGUUGACCUCGGAUCAGGUAGGAAUACCCGCUGAACUUAAGCAUAUCAAUAAGCGGAGGA